This 203-nucleotide long non-coding RNA is filed under the name Elaeis guineensis (African oil palm). RNAcentral describes it as "long non-coding RNA (EGUI_LNC007756)". Lineage: Eukaryota; Viridiplantae; Streptophyta; Magnoliopsida; Arecales; Arecaceae. The record is from RNAcentral.
CCUGUUUCUCUAGUAUUCCAGUUAAGAAUCAUUUAUGAUGAGUGGAAAACUUAUUGAAUGCUUCCAAAAAGGAAUCAAAAGGAUAGCCCAAAGCUUCCAAAAAGAAAAACAUCUCAAGGAGAGUACUACAAGCAUUAUAAUAGAAGGGCUGGUAAAUGUAAUGGUAAUAAAUGCAAAAGAUGAGCAGAACCCAAAUAGAGACA